AACGAACGCUGGCGGCAUGCCUAACACAUGCAAGUCGAACGAGCCCUUCGGGUCUAGUGGCGCACGGGUGCGUAACGCGUGGGAACCUGCCCUUAGGUUCGGAAUAACUCCCCGAAAGGGGUGCUAAUACCGGAUAAUGUCUUCGGACCAAAGAUUUAUCGCCUUUGGAUGGGCCCGCGUUGGAUUAGCUAGUUGGUAGGGUAAAAGCCUACCAAGGCGACGAUCCAUAGCUGGUCUGAGAGGAUGAUCAGCCACACUGGGACUGAGACACGGCCCAGACUCCUACGGGAGGCAGCAGUGGGGAAUAUUGCACAAUGGGCGAAAGCCUGAUCCAGCAAUGCCGCGUGAGUGAUGAAGGCCUUAGGGUUGUAAAGCUCUUUUACCCGGGAUGAUAAUGACAGUACCGGGAGAAUAAGCUCCGGCUAACUCCGUG
RNAcentral lists this ribosomal RNA (433 nucleotides) under uncultured bacterium. RNAcentral describes it as "partial 16S ribosomal RNA". It matches the Rfam family "Bacterial small subunit ribosomal RNA", at positions 29 to 507 of the family's 1533-position model. The record is from RNAcentral.